GGAGCUCCUGGGUGAGGCUGUGUGGGGAAAUGGGUGCAGCCUCUUCUUCUUGCAUUCCUGGUCUCCCAGAUAAUCCAUUGGAUCUGCUCCUGGAGCAAGGUGCCUCUGGACAGUGAUGGAUUAACUGGCUAAGAAUUUGCCAAGGGCAUCAACAGCAGUUUUCCCAGGCUCCAGCACAAGGAUUAUGUAGUCAAUCCACAAAUGACUCAAAUCUUUGAAGAAAAGGACAUGGUUAUCAGAGAGGCUUUGACGACAGCAGGGACGGGAGUGCUAUCUGCCUUUUUCCAUCAGAGAUUCCCAUUCCCUCUCAUUAACAUACUCAGGACAUCAGCACAGCCAUCGGCCCGAGGGAAUCGCUUCCAACUUUUAAGGGAAUGUGCACAAGACCUCGCCCCUGCGUUGUUUCAGACAGAUCAAAGCAGAUUUGCCUCGUGUAAAGGUUCUUCAGUCCCACUGAGGAUGUGAUGUGAAAGCACACACACUUUGUGUGGGGAAAGGAGAAGCCUCUACCUGCUCUCUCCCAGCGCCCUGUAAUGAAAAAUGCUUUUGGAGCAACACUGGAAAUAAGCCAUCAAAAUAUCUGAUUAAACCUCUUAGGAAACUCUCACUAAUCACCUUCUCUGCUCUUGAUGGAAUGUAUUUAUGCAUUAUAAAUAUACUUACUAUGUGUGUGUGCUCCAUAAAUCACACCCAGCACUUGUAUAUGAUGUAUAAGCACAUUCUAUAGAACACACACAAAUACAGAUGCCAAGCUCCCACAGAGUUCAUCACUGGAAAAUGUUUGAAGGAUCUGAUCCUUAAUAUUUAAUGAGAAAGAUGCUAUUUCCUUCCUCAGCUUUUAUCUCUGGUUUGGCAUAGUCAUUAAAUUUGUUGUUUCCUUGCAAGAUUAUAUAAUUUAUGACCUAAUUUUAGACUUUUGUGUAACCACGUUGAAACACUCGUGGCGUAUCCCGAUUUCCUCACACGGAGUGUUCCAGCCUCAGCCACCAGCUCCAACACGACUUCUGUGAGCUGCCUGUCAGCAAGGAGUCACAGGCAUGAAAGGAAAACAGCCCAGCAAUAUUCAGGCAGCAUUAGAAGAUUAGUUUGUGGGGGGUUUGCCCUGCAAAAAAUAUGAUUUAGCAGCAUUUCCAAAGCCGUCUGCGGUGCUGGCAGGAAUCCCCAGUUCAGGUGCCCUGCUGGAUGUGUUUGGGCCAGUAGCAGCCAGGAUGCAAAGCUGAGCAUCCACAGCCAUCACUCUCCUGCUCUUCACAGUAGAUGUUGCUGCCUUCCAAAUAUCCAGAAUUCAUUGAUAGUGAAAAUUUUGAGGAAUGGGACUUUAUUCAGCCCACAACAGCUUGGCAAAUUCAGAAUAUGGAGCAACAACUGGCUAGAAAAGGAAACAAUUCUCCCUUUUUAAGGGGAUAAAGUGCAAUGGGAAUAGGACUGCUCAGUGGAGAAUUCCUUGUGGCAGAAGGAUGGGCAGCAUGGAGAUUUCUGAGAUGGUUUGGAUGUCACUUCCAUCAAGUAGAAGGAAUGUUAUGCUAAAACUGUUCAUCAAAACUGAGACCUCACAGGUUAUUUUGUUGGAGAGUCACGAAAACAACCACUGAUUUUUUUCCCUAGGGCAGAGAUUUUGUGCUAGAGGAGAAAAUGAGAAAACAGCCAGACCCCAAAAGAGGGAAAAAGGGAAAACCUGAGAUUAGAGCAGAGAAAAGGUAUCAAAAUUUGUAAAAGAAAUUUGAUGAAGCCCUAAUUGUAUUUAAAAUCCAUGAUUGUUUUGAAAUCCAAGGAACUACUGUCAAAUUAUUUGUGACGCGUUAUUUCCAUAGUCAGAAAAUCCUCAUCUCUUGUAUCCCACUUUCAAAAGUUCAGUGUAUUCCAGUCUGAAAUCCCAAAAGACAGGGAAUACACCUGGAUUUCUGAUGCUUGGGAGUAUUGGCAUUAGAUGCAAGCAGCUGGGUUUUCCCAGGAAUGUUAUUCUGGAAUAUUUGAGUCACACAAGUUCUGGCACAGGUGCUGGGGGUGAUGUGGGCACAGGAGCACUGUGAGGUGGACUCGGGAUGUCACUGCUCUUCCUGGAUGUCACAUUGGAGCAUCGUGGUCUGGGUAAAUCCAGCCAGGAAUCUGCCAGUGGCCUCAGCAGAGCUGGAAUUCCAUCCCAGAGUGACACGGGCUGGUGACAUGGAGUGAUGUCAAGUCACUGAUGUAGACCUGGAAAGAUUCCUUGUCACAUAACUGAUCCCAUCGGGUUCCCAAAUUUCACUUGGGAUUUUUUUACCAAGUUUCCAUUCCCACUGCAAAUAUAUGGAUAACAUGUUUAGGCAUUAUCCUUAAAAAAGUAAAGAAAUAAUUUCUUUUGGAGAUGUGUGAUCUGUAGAAGACAUUUGUGUAAUUUUGCAUUCUAAAUGUGAUUUAUAUUUAUAAAUAAAUUUGCAUAAAAUCUCCAGCUCUCGAUGUCAUAGUUCUAUUCUAUCUUUA
Long non-coding RNA from Vidua chalybeata, 2460 nucleotides. RefSeq lists it as uncharacterized. The transcript is spliced from 5 exons. The record is from RefSeq and is a predicted model, not a curated record. Lineage: Eukaryota; Metazoa; Chordata; Aves; Passeriformes; Viduidae.